Molecule: ribosomal RNA, 349 nt
Filed under: uncultured Glomus
Lineage: Eukaryota; Fungi; Glomeromycota; Glomeromycetes; Glomerales; Glomeraceae
Description: SSU rRNA
Rfam family: Eukaryotic small subunit ribosomal RNA
Source: RNAcentral
AGCAGCCGCGGUAAUUCCAGCUCCAAUAGCGUAUAUUAAAGUUGUUGCAGUUAAAAAGCUCGUAGUUGAAUUUCGGGAUCAAUACGUCGGUCGUGCCUCGGUACGUACCGGCGUCAUUGAUUUCUCCCUUCUGAAGAACCGUGAUGCCAUUAACUUGGUGUCAUGGGAAAUCAGGACUGUACUUUGAAAAAUUGAGUGUUUAAAGCAGGCUCACGCUUGAAUACAUUAGCAUGGAAUAAUGAAAUAGGACGUUCGACCCUAUUUUGUUGGUUUCUAGGAUCAACGUAAUGAUUAAUAGGGAUAGUUGGGGCAUUAGUAUUCAAUUGUCAGAGGUGAAAUUCUUGGAUUU